UACGGAGGUCCCAAGCGUUGUUCGGAAUUACUGGGCGUAAAGGGAGCGCAGGCGGACAGGUCAGUCUAAAGUGGAAAUCCGAGGCUCAACCUCGGACUUGCUUCGGAUACUUCCUGUCUUGAGUUCGUGAGAGGAAGAUGGAAUUCAGGGUGUAGCGGUGAAAUGCUCAGAUAUCCUGAGGAACACCGGUGGCGAAAGCGGUCUUCUGGCGCGAAACUGACGCUGAGGCUCGAAAGCGUGGGGAGCAAACGGGAUUAGAUACCCCGGUAGUCCACGCCGUAAACGUUGUGUGCUAGGUGUAGGAGGUAUCGACCCCUUCUGUGCCGCAGCUAACGCAUUAAGCACACCGCCUGGGGAGUACGCUCGCAAGAGUGAA
Molecule: ribosomal RNA, 376 nt
Filed under: uncultured bacterium
Lineage: Bacteria
Description: bacterial SSU rRNA
Rfam family: Bacterial small subunit ribosomal RNA
Source: RNAcentral